This 252-nucleotide ribosomal RNA is filed under the name uncultured bacterium. Its description in RNAcentral is "partial 16S ribosomal RNA". It matches the Rfam family "Bacterial small subunit ribosomal RNA", at positions 524 to 776 of the family's 1533-position model. The record is from RNAcentral.
UACGUAGGAUGCGAGCGUUAUCCGGAUUUAUUGGGCGUAAAGCGCGCGUAGGCGGCCGCCUAAGCGGAACCUCUAACCCCGGGGCUCAACCUCGGGCCGGGUUCCGGACUGGGCGGCUCGAGUGCGGUAGAGGAGAGCGGAAUUCCCGGUGUAGCGGUGGAAUGCGCAGAUAUCGGGAAGAACACCGAUGGCGAAGGCAGCUCUCUGGGCCGUCACUGACGCUGAGGCGCGAAAGCUGGGGGAGCGAACAGG